This is a long non-coding RNA of Balaenoptera acutorostrata (minke whale), 740 nucleotides long. RefSeq lists it as uncharacterized. The record is from RefSeq and is a predicted model, not a curated record. NCBI's taxonomy places the organism in Eukaryota, Metazoa, Chordata, Mammalia, Artiodactyla, Balaenopteridae. The transcript is spliced from 3 exons.
CGGAGGGGGAGCAGGGGAUCCCGAGAGCGGAUGCAGGGCGACCUGGCGGGAGCAGCUUGAAGCAACCCAAGUGUCCAGUGUCCAUCAAUGGGUGAAUGGUUCGUCAAACUAUGGUCCAUCCAUACCAUGGAAUACUCCUCGGCAAGAAGAAGGAAUGAACUAUUAUUGUGGAAGAAAGUAUUCAAGGGUUUCUUGGGUAAAGAAAACUCUAUUUCAAAAAACAGAUUCCGGGGCUUCCCUGGUGGCGCAGUGGUUAAGAAUCUGCCUGCCAAUGCAGGGCACACGGGUUCGAGCCCUGGUCCGGAAAGAUCCCACAUGCUGUGGAGCAACUAAGCCCGUGCGCCACAACUACUGAGCCUGCGCUCCAGAGCCCGCGAGCCACAACUGCUGAAGCCUGGGCGCCUAGAGCCCAUGCUCUGCAACAAGAGAAGCCACCGCAAUGAGAAGCCCACUCACCACAACUAGAGAAAGCCCGCACACAGCAACAAAGACCCAACGCACCCAAAAAUAAAUAAAUAAAAUAAAAUUAAAAAAACCCAAAAAAUAGAUUCCGUGGGAAUCCCCUGGCGGUCCAGUGGUGAGGACUCUGCCUUUCCACUGCAGGGGGCGAAGUUUCGAUCCCUGGUUGGAGAACUAAGACCCCGCAUGCCGCGCGGGAUGGAGGGAGGGGGAUGGGAAGUUAUUGCUUACUAGGGACAGAGUUUCCGUUUCAAAAGAGAACAAGAGUUCAGGAAAUGGGU